This 1353-nucleotide long non-coding RNA is filed under the name Callithrix jacchus (white-tufted-ear marmoset). RNAcentral's name for it is "lncRNA (ENSCJAG00000057911.2)". Lineage: Eukaryota; Metazoa; Chordata; Mammalia; Primates; Cebidae. The record is from RNAcentral.
CUCAGGAGCCCAUGGAAGAUUGCAACAUCUCCUGGGUUGAGGGAGCCACCCAUCCUGUGGGAAUUUGGUUUUGAAAUACAGCUGGAAUAAAUGCGGGACUCCAAGGUAGCUUGUCCAUUGCCAGACAAUGAAGAAAGGGGACUGAGGCUCACCUUUGGACUUCCUGAUUGACAUCCCACGUUCAGAUCUGGAUAUUCAGUUUCCUACAACUAUCCUCCUCACCAAUGUAAUCCUUCUUUGGAGCUGAGAAAUGUCAUCUUUCUUAGCUUUUCUGUCUUGCCCUGUCUUGGUUCGUCCCGUUAUGGAGAGCGCAUCCACUAGUUCCUGGAGAAACAGAGUUCAAAGAGUCUCCUCUGUUGCCCAGGUUGGAAUGCAGUGGCGCCAUCUUGACUACAUCCUCGGCCUCCCAGGUUCAAGUGAUUCUCCUGCCUCAGCCUCCCGAGUAGCUGGGACUGCACUAUGCCUCGCUAAUUCUGUGUAUUUUUAGUAAAGACAAGGUUUCACCGUGUUAUCCAGGAUGGUCUCAAUCUCCUGACCUUGUGAUCCGCCCACUUCAGUCCCCCAAAGUGCUGAGAUUACAGGCAUGAGCCAUCGCACCUGGCCAGGGGUUGGAUUUUGAGAGGAGAGGAGUGGAAAUGUCUUCAUUCCAUCAAUUUAAAAAUCACAGAUCUGGUGAUCAAAUUGUGAGGGAUAGAUUCACAUUAUAACAACACUUGUCAGAAAUUUGUUUUAAAGCGAAUUACAGUGUAUUAAUUCAGAAGCCAAGUAAAGAUCUAAACAUUUUUAUAGUAGAGAAAAUUAAGUGAUCUUUAUGGUUAAUGUUAGCCUGUUACCUAGCCUGAUGCCACAUCCCUCAUGUAAGUAGGUACCUGCCAAAAUAAAUAGAAUAAUUAAAUUGGGAAGCCAGGAAUUACCACUGGACAGUUCUGAUAAUUCCAUUCUUCUUUCUCUAUUCUUCAUGAAUAUCUGUUAAAAAAAAGAUUGCACAAUUAUUUGAGUGAGAAAAAAAUAUUUAUGAAGUGUCUACUCUGUACCAUAUAUAGUAGUAUGCAUUAUUUCAUUACUUUUUGUCAGAUAUUAGUUACAUUUUAAAUUUAUGUCUUUUUAGUGAGAUUCCAGGGAAGUACCUUAUUUCCUGAUGAAUUUAAGGAAUUCCCAUUAUAUGCUUUACUCAUUUCCUGGGAAGACUUUCACAUGUGACCAAAUACAUUCAUUUUAUAAUGCCUUCUACAGCUUUUAUUUUAAUUGUUGAUUUUUAUGGCUUUGUUCAUAAUUCUGUGCAUAAUUUUUUGUUUACCCACAUUAUCCAUUGACUACAUACUCAAUAUUAUACAAAACCUUCACUGUUUAUUU